UUGCAGUUAAAAAGCUCGUAGUUGGAUUUCUGUGGGGGCGGAGCGGCCGGCCGCAACUUGCGGUUCGAGCUAGCGCUUCCCCUACAUCCUGCCGCGAACCGUGCUACCAUUAGUUUGGUGGCGCCGGGGAUCGGCUCGUUUACUUUGAGAAAAAUAGAGUGUUCAAAGCAGGCCACACGCCUUGAAUAAGAUAGCAUGGAAUAAUAAUAAAGGACUUCGGUUCUAUUUUGUUGGUGUUCGGGACUGAAGUAAUGAUUGAUAGGGACAGUUGGGGCGGUCAGUAUUCCAAAGCGAGAGGUGAAAUUCUUAGACCUUCGGAAGACUAACAGCUGCGAAAGCGUUCCGCAAGGAUGUUCCCUUUGAUCAAGAACGAAAGUUGGGGGAUCGAAGACGAUCAGAUACCGUCGUAGUCUCAACUAUAAACUAUACCAGCUAGGGAUCGGCCAACGUUUACUUACAUCGACUUGGUCGGCACCUUAUGAGAAAUCAAAGCAUCUGGGUUCCGGGGGGAGUAUGGUCGCAAGGCUGAAACUUAAAGGAAUUGACGGAAGGGCACCACCAGCCGUGGAGCCUGUGGCUUAAUUUGACUCAACACGGGAAAACUUACCAGGUCCAGACAUAGUAAGGAUUGACAGAUUGAUAGCUCUUUCUUGAUUCUGUGGGUGGUGGUGC
This 672-nucleotide ribosomal RNA is filed under the name uncultured marine eukaryote. RNAcentral's name for it is "SSU rRNA". It matches the Rfam family "Eukaryotic small subunit ribosomal RNA", at positions 613 to 1283 of the family's 1831-position model. The record is from RNAcentral.